UGGCCAGACUCCUACGGGAGGCAGCAGUGGGGAAUAUUGCACAAUGGGGGAAACCCUGAUGCAGCGACGCCGCGUGAGCGAUGAAGUAUUUCGGUAUGUAAAGCUCUAUCAGCAGGGAAGAAGAUGACGGUACCUGACUAAGAAGCCCCGGCUAACUACGUGCCAGCAGCCGCGGUAAUACGUAGGGGGCAAGCGUUAUCCGGAUUUACUGGGUGUAAAGGGAGCGUAGACGGCGAUGCAAGCCAGAUGUGAAAGCCCGGGGCUCAACCCCGGGACUGCAUUUGGAACUGUGUGGCUGGAGUGUCGGAGAGGCAGGCGGAAUUCCUAGUGUAGCGGUGAAAUGCGUAGAUAUUAGGAGGAACACCAGUGGCGAAGGCGGCUUACUGGACUGUAACUGACGUUGAGGCUCGAAAGCGUGGGGAGCAAACAGGAUUAGAUACCCUCGUA
Molecule: ribosomal RNA, 447 nt
Filed under: uncultured bacterium
Lineage: Bacteria
Description: bacterial SSU rRNA
Rfam family: Bacterial small subunit ribosomal RNA
Source: RNAcentral